ACAGCGGUUCUCUAUGGCCUGCAAGCCCUGGGGAGCCAUCAGUCUGUGCUGCCUCCAUGUUGGGAUUACAAGAUGCCCCACCAUAGAUGGCGGGCGGAAGAUACGCGGAUCCUGAAGAGGUCAUCUUGGAAUCCCAUGGGAAGAAGAGUGGCUGGAGCUCACAGAAGUCACAAUGCAUGCUACCCACUCAUAUCCUGUGAACAGCUCUAUAUAAGUAAGUACAACCAUGAGCAUCCAGUUUUACAGUUAUACAGCAGUGUCUGUGCUGGUGAUGGGGAGAGACCGGGGAAGGAUGGCAGAGAGGAGACUAAGCAGGAGUCGUCUCCCUGCAGAGACAGAAAAUGAAGGCCAGAAAUUCCUGGAGGGGACUAACCCAGAAUGACAGGUCUUGGGGACAACUGGGAACGGGAAAGUUCUGCAAGGCUGACUGAAGAAUGGGGUAACACAACAGGACCCCUGAACAUAUAUGCUAAUGCCACAUGACCAUGACAACUAGGCCUGCGGAGCCAAGGGAGAGGCCUAAGCAUUGCCAAGAGCAAAGGGACACAGCAGAACCAAUGGGGUGGGGGGGAUGGGGGGUGGUGCCAUUAGAUUUCUGGUUCAGAAAAGUUGCCUGACUCCCUUCACAAAAAGAUUGAGAGACCAGUUAACUACAGCAUUCCAGACAAGGGCAGCAGAGGGCCAAGGGUAGAGAGCUACUGAGGUGGUAAGCUGACAGGGUUUAUUUUGGUUACUGCAUGUGCACAAUAAGGAAGCCUGUAUUCUCAAGCCACUGGAGGUGGGAAGUUCAGUGCUGUCCACUUGAGGGCGCAACAGGGAGACCAAGUCUGAAAGGUGAACUGCUGGCACAGGCCCUUGGCACUUGUGUAGAGCAUUUAAGCAGCUAGACCCAUAAGACGGGGUGGAGAGAAGCCUCAGAUUAUCUGCAUAAAACUGGAAGGCAUUUGACUAUGCCUCGAGUCUUACAGACAGGUUUUACAGGUCAGAAAUGCAAGUUAGACCACUUGUAAGUGUCUAAACGUUCUUAUGAAACUGAGAGCUCAGGGCCUUUUUUUUUUUUUUUUUUUUUUUUUUGGUUCUUUUUUUCGGAGCUGGGGACCGAACCCAGGGCCUUGUGCUUCCUAGGCAAGCGCUCUACCACUGAGCUAAAUCCCCAACCCCAGGGCCUUUUGUUUUAACAUUACGUCUCAUGCCACACUGUGAGAGUAAGGCCAGAGUCUGUUCUCUUCUUCAGCUCUGUGGGUUCUGGGGAUCAAACGUGGAUCAUAGCGCUUGGUGGUACAAGUCUUUCUUUAAAGCUGAUCCGGCAGAAUCCCCUCCCCCCAAUAAGCACAGGACGUUUAGGAGUAUACAGUCUCACAAUGGAUGAAAAGCCAGACUGGAGCACUUAGGGAUUCCGGGACUUAAGAAGACUACAACCUGUGCCCAGUAUACCCAAGAAAGAACUACAGUCAUCCUCAAAUGUCAUAACAAGGGGCUCCAUGGUAGAGGUUGCUGGAAACGGUUCUGACUGGUGAGCCAGCAGCUACGUCCACAUAACCAACUCAAGGGUAGCUGGGAAAGGGAGAGAUAUAACCAAGUACUGGAGUCCUGCCCCCACUUCUGAAAGUGUCCCUAAUUAAGCUCUAAAAACUUUGUUCCCCUUACGAAGCCUUCCUGAAUUCCUGAAUCACUGCCUUUUGGCUGAGUUCUGUAAGAGUGUUUCUCAUACUCAUCUCAGGAUGAGUCACCAUGGGAUUGUGAGUGCGAGUACACCCCAUGUCCUCUACUAACAUACAGCCUCCAGAAGGUGACGGCAGUGUCCCCUCGGCCUCUUCUUUUGCAUUUUCCACUGUGCCUUGCUUACAUUCAGCUCUCGCUGGGUGAGUAAAGGACCUGCCCUGAGCCAUGACACAUCUGACCCUAGUGGGACAGCUGGUUAUGUUGUAUGACCUUGGACAAAUCGAUUAGUCUCCCUGAGGCUCAUUUUCAUCCCCUGUAAAUGAGGGGGGUUGGACUUUUCUCCACCAGUGGGGAAGGAGAUGUGACAACUGAAAAAACGAAUAUUCAAUCGUAAAUGUUGCUGUGCAAAUCAAAGGCAGAGUAGAUGAAAAGCCAGAGGGCACUGAACAACCAGAGUCAGGAAUCUGAGAGCUAAGGAGGAACUGGCCAAGGUGGUUUAGAAUUCUGGGCUCAGAAGUCUACAGCUAUUGGAUAUACUGCGUGAGAGACCGCACAAGGUUCCACAAUAUGGUUUAAACACCUUCUGGGAUGUCAUAUCCUGCCACAAACACAAAAGAAUAAAUGAAGCAGUGAGUAAAAUAAAACGAUCUCUUUACUGGGAGUUCUGUGGGUCACUGAGAAUCAUCUGGAAAGCUACACUGGGCAGCCCCCUGCUCGUUUGGAGCACUGUAUGCUGGUAAGUUUGACCCUUGACAAGCUGAUGGCUUACACAAGAAGAAACAAGGACACUACCCCUAAAAUCUGUUUGAUUCAGGCCCUUUUCUGGGGGUAAAUGGCCUACAUACUCCAUGAGGAGGCUUUUAGGUAACAGCAGCGGUAGAUAACGGCAUUCACCAAUACCCAAUAUUCCUGUCACUUUCUCUCGAUGCGUCAAACCAUUUAAACCGGAAAUUCUCAGGGAAAACUUGUCAGGCCCAUUAUAACUUACAGAGCAGGGAGGUUCAAAUAAUACCUCCCUAACAGAACACAGACAUCAUUCCUCAUUAAACCCUACAUCACCAUCAGAGCUCAGAUUAUGGAAGGUGGUGUCUUCCCAACUAUUUCUCAUCCCAAACUGAAAUGCCACGGUGCUUGUCCACUGUGAAUCAAGUGGCAUUUUGCCGACCAGCAGAAGUUAAAUCGUGGCUACUAGACUCUUGCUAGAGCACCAAUGGGAAGGCUGAGCUGUGGACUAGAGUUGCUAAUACUUUACUCUGGUAGUCACCUCUGGGCGGAGUCCUGCUAGUCAGAAGUAGGGCAGCCACAUUUCCUAGUGCACUAGUAACUAAAUGCUGUGGAACAGGAGGGAUGGAGCAAGCUGCCUAUUGAGUAAAAUCACCAUCACGACUGCAGUCUUGGCUACCCUACAGCCGUAACACAAGGGCAGAGCGCUGAGGACUCCAGGAACAGGGAUGCACUUACUGUUUUCUCUGAUAAAAAACAAUUUUACAGCAACAGGCAAGCCAAAGCAUUAAAUACAGCAGGAACCACAACAAAAAUAAGCCAAACAAAACUGCCCAGUGCCACAUCGUACAUCAGAGAAAACGGCCUCCUAACUAAAAUCACAGUUACCUGGAGAGGCGACUCAACACUAAGACCACUCGCUGCUCUUCGGGGGGCCCCGGUUCCGUUCCCAGCACCUACAUGGCAGGUGAGUCACAGCUCUCCAGGACACCAGGGGAUGUGACUGCUGCUGCUGGCCAACUCCACCACUGUGCCCGAGGCACACAUGCACUGGUGGCACAGGUAAGCGGUUCUAGCAAACGCCCAUCCAUGUAAAACUAAAUCUAAAGAAUUUGUAAGGAAAUAAAAUUCCAUUUAUCUGCCUAUUUCAUGUAGUGACCGAAAGCUAAGAUAAAUUCAAUUUAAUCUUGUGUCAUGAGAGUAAUUAGAGCCUUAUUUGCUUUUUUGGCACUGUCUCCCUUCAGAGGUCAGGCCUCUCCCCUAACAGACAAUGGAGCUGCCCCUGUUAGUUCCCAUGUGCUCUCUACUCUUGAGACCAGAAGACUGCAUCGCACUGGACUUAAGCUAUUUGAGUCAAAGCAAAAGAAAAUAAAUAAAAAGGGAGGAAGGAAACCCACUUAAUAGUAUAGUUAAAGCAAAGUUUAGUAUUUUUCUUCCUUUAAAAAAAUGGAGGAUUUUUAAAUUGAAAAGAAAUGCUUAGACUUUAGUAGAUUGUUUAAAAUUCUAAAAACAAUGUGGCAGUUUGGUCCUCACCUCCAUUUUAGGAUGUUGGGGGGUUUUUGUUUUGUUUUUGUUUUAAGAAUAGACAAGGAGGAAUUCAAAGCAAGAAGCCUAGAUAGAGUGAGAGAAAAGAGGGAGAGAACGUGAGAAAAAGAACCGUUAGUAAAUGCGACAUUCUUUCCAGAGCAGAAGAAUGAACGAUAACUCGGUUUAGAAGAAUGACAAACAUUUCUGGAAAGCAUGCCAAGGCAAGGAAAGGACAGCAGUAGGAGAACAUUAAAUUACUCACAUGAGCCCUUCCAGCAGCUCUCUCCUUUACCUACUCCACCUCCACCACCGUGUGCUGGCCCUACGGUGGCAGAGCCGAGGCGAACCACAUGGAAAGUUUUUGUUCCAGAUAAUGGUGCAGGACGGGACUUGGCGGCUACAAGUUGUAAUCAGCAAGCCUCAAGAGCUAUAGUAACAGAGAUAAGGCCCAAAUAUGCAUUACAAGGCCCUGCCUCUCGGGAGGUAGGACAGCCAAAGCCAAGGUUACCAUGUUGCUAUGAUUUUGGAAAGAACUUUUCAAAUAGGGAGUUGUUUUUUUUUUUUACCCCUCUCUAGAUGGAUAAAAGAAUUGUCUAAAUAUAAAGAUUCUUCCAGUUCA
Molecule: non-coding RNA, 4531 nt
Organism: Rattus norvegicus (Norway rat)
Lineage: Eukaryota; Metazoa; Chordata; Mammalia; Rodentia; Muridae
Source: RefSeq, a predicted model, not a curated record